Molecule: long non-coding RNA, 1835 nt
Organism: Esox lucius (northern pike)
Lineage: Eukaryota; Metazoa; Chordata; Actinopteri; Esociformes; Esocidae
Source: Ensembl
CUGGAUUUCCAUAUAAACUGCAAAUUAGACAUUUCUCAAUGUGGUUACAUUUCUUUGUUCAGCAUGUAAAAAACUUACAACCUACCACAAGGUGACAUGGAAAGCCAUGCAGGCUAUUCAAAAUCUACUUAUUAAUACUAACAAAAAUGUUAGAAAUUGGAUUUAAAUCAUAGGACCCCUUGCAACAAGAAUGAACUGUAUAACAUUUUAAAGACAGUAAAAGAAAAUGGAUGACUCAGAAGUCUCCAUAAAAACAUUUUGGCUCAUGAGCAGUACUUCAAAACUACUGGCAGAAAUUACAAUUUCUGGAACACGUCAUUAAAGAGGGAAGAGUAACCAAAAGGAAUGGCAGCACUGUGCAGCAGAAGUUGCCUGUUCAUCAUGUGAAACUGUCAGGCUAGAAGCAAUCUGACAACACGCUCAUUUGCAUCUCACACAGUUUAUUUAUUCUGUAACACUUCUCUUCAAAAGAAAAAACUUGGCUAUAUACAAUUCCCACCACCCCAAUCUCAAAAUCUGUCGAGUAGUGACAUGGUCAAAUAUCCAUAACACUUCAUUUAAAACAUAUUUAGACAAAUUUUGCAUGACAAAUUUCUUCUAAUAAUUUUAGCAUUAUACACUCACCAGCCACUUUAAUAAGUACACCUGCAUGUUAACCAUAACAAUCCAACAGUGAAUAGUGUGGCUGCAAAUGUGUAAAGCAUGCAGACAUGGUCAAUAGGUUUAGAUUUGUCAACUAAACAUUAGAAUGGGAAAGACUUAACUUUGGCCUUGGUAUGAUUGUUGGUGCCAGACAAGGCGGUUCCAGAAUACAAAAAAAAACCCAAAACAGCGGAUGUCCUGGGAUUUUCAUGCACUACAGUCUCACAACAUUGCUGAGAAUGGCGCAACAAACAAAAUUCAGUGAUCAGCAGAUUUGUGGUAAAAGACACUUUGUUAACAAGAGCGCUAAAGGGGUCAAUACUAGGUAAGUUUACUUAAUAAAGUGACAGGUGUAUUAUUGUUUUUAAACUUUAAUUCUGUUAGAAGAGCAAAACAUUUCCCAAACCUACCUAACUCCAUCCAACUAACGAGGCAGUUUUAGCAUGGGCAACACCAUGGAGGACUUCCAAAAUGUUAAAUGAGGCAACUGUGUGCAACAUCCAACUCAAGUGGUUGAUCACAGCUGUUGACGGUUAGUUGUGUCCAAAUGGGUUAACAGGCAGAAUCAGUACAUCAUAAAAGAAAUGAGAUUUCCUCAAUGGUGCUGCCUGUGUAUAUAUCCUAAUGGGAAUUAUAUGGCCGCUUUAUCAUUCUCAUGUAUGGCCUCUAUUCUAGCACUGGUUUCAGAGGGUGGGGGGAAUUCUGUACAUUUAAGGCAAGUAAAAUCAAAAGUUCAAAUCGACAAACACAAAAAAAUGAAUAAAGACAAAAUUGUUCACUAUAUACAUCCAGGAGUUGAAACAUGCCAGAUCUGUGUGUCUUGUGUAUGAAUGUAACAGAGCAUGAGUAUAGUUGUACAUUACAUGUUUAAAGUCAUUUUUAGAGUCCAUGUAUGUAGGUGUUUAUGUGUUUCAUAACUCCUGGUUGAGACAUUGAUCAGCGGAGCUCAGUCACUCCCUGUCAAGUCUAGUCCAGGACAAAGCUGGUUUCGUGGAGUCUCUUCUCUACAGACUGCUCCUCUCAGACCAUCUCAUGACCAGCUGUGGUCCAGAGCAGCCUAAUUCUCCAGGGUAUAACAGUCCACUGGUCUCAGCCUCUAAUACACCUCCUUUACAACCAAGUCAUCCAUGAGGUAUUUUCUGGGCCUGCAAAAACAAUAAGACUAUUAAGACAUGGACGAUUAAAUACAAAAC